This 1346-nucleotide ribosomal RNA is filed under the name uncultured bacterium. RNAcentral's name for it is "bacterial SSU rRNA". It matches the Rfam family "Bacterial small subunit ribosomal RNA", at positions 28 to 1381 of the family's 1533-position model. The record is from RNAcentral.
GACGAACGCUGGCGGCGUGCUUAACACAUGCAAGUCGAACGGAAAGGCCCUGCUUUUGUGGGGUGCUCGAGUGGCGAACGGGUGAGUAACACGUGAGUAACCUGCCCUUGACUUUGGGAUAACUUCAGGUAACUGGGGCUAAUACCGGAUAGGAGCUCCUGCUGCAUGGUGGGGGUUGGAAAGUUUCGGCGGUUGGGGAUGGACUCGCGGCUUAUCAGCUUGUUGGUGGGGUAGUGGCUUACCAAGGCUUUGACGGGUAGCCGGCCUGAGAGGGUGACCGGCCACAUUGGGACUGAGAUACGGCCCAGACUCCUACGGGAGGCAGCAGUGGGGAAUAUUGCACAAUGGGCGGAAGCCUGAUGCAGCAACGCCGCGUGCGGGAUGACGGCCUUCGGGUUGUAAACCGCUUUCGCCUGUGACGAAGCGUGAGUGACGGUAAUGGGUAAAGAAGCACCGGCUAACUACGUGCCAGCAGCCGCGGUGAUACGUAGGGUGCGAGCGUUGUCCGGAUUUAUUGGGCGUAAAGGGCUCGUAGGUGGUUGAUCGCGUCGGAAGUGUAAUCUUGGGGCUUAACUCUGAGCGUGCUUUCGAUACGGGUUGACUUGAGGAAGGUAGGGGAGAAUGGAAUUCCUGGUGGAGCGGUGGAAUGCGCAGAUAUCAGGAGGAACACCAGUGGCGAAGGCGGUUCUCUGGGCCUUUCCUGACGCUGAGGAGCGAAAGCGUGGGGAGCGAACAGGCUUAGAUACCCUGGUAGUCCACGCUGUAAACGGUGGGUACUAGGUGUGGGGUCCAUUCCACGGGUUCCGUGCCGUAGCUAACGCUUUAAGUACCCCGCCUGGGGAGUACGGCCGCGAGGCUAAAACUCAAAGGAAUUGACGGGGCCCCGCACAAGCGGCGGAGCAUGCGGAUUAAUUCGAUGCAACGCGUAGAACCUUACCUGGGUUUGACAUGGAUCGGGAGUGCUCAGAGAUGGGUGUGCCUCUUUUGGGGUCGGUUCACAGGUGGUGCAUGCCUGUCGUCAGCUCGUGUCGUGAGAUGUUGGGUUAAGUCCCGCAACGAGCGCAACCCUUGUUCACUGUUGCCAGCACGUUAUGGUGGGGACUCAGUGGAGACCGCCGGGGUCAACUCGGAGGAAGGUGGGGAUGACGUCAAGUCCUCAUGCCCCUUAUGUCCAGGGCUUCACGCAUGCUACAAUGGCUGGUACAGAGAGUGGCGAGCCUGUGAGGGUGAGCGAAUCUCGGAAAGCCGGUCUCAGUCCGGAUUGGGGUCUGCAACUCGACCUCAUGAAGUCGGAGUCGCUAGUAAUCGCAGAUCAGCAACGCUGCGGUGAAUACGUUCCCGGGGCU